AAAAUUUUAAGUUAAAAAAACUAAUUACCUUCAAAGUAAUAAAUACCUCUAGACAGUAAGUUUUA
This 65-nucleotide transfer RNA is filed under the name Macrocheles muscaedomesticae. RNAcentral describes it as "tRNA-Trp". The record is from RNAcentral. Lineage: Eukaryota; Metazoa; Arthropoda; Arachnida; Mesostigmata; Macrochelidae.